CAAAAUAGGGCUUGAUUAGUUAAGCAUUUCACUUACGUUGAAAAGAUAUCGUGCAAAUCGAUUUAUUUUGA
Molecule: transfer RNA, 71 nt
Filed under: Dictyosquilla foveolata
Lineage: Eukaryota; Metazoa; Arthropoda; Malacostraca; Stomatopoda; Squillidae
Description: tRNA-Val
Rfam family: tRNA
About the family: Transfer RNA (tRNA) molecules are approximately 80 nucleotides in length. Their secondary structure includes four short double-helical elements and three loops (D, anti-codon, and T loops).
Source: RNAcentral